UGGCUUCUUUCUAGGUGGUGGUGUUCUACUCUGAGGACAUCUUCAGGAGCAGACCUCUUAAGGAAGCAAAUAUGGCAAAUCUGAGUGUGGAACCCUUGUCACCUGACUAUCUUUCCCAUUCAGGAUGGAUGGUGCUUUCAGAUGUAAAAGCCUGGCACGCAAAUCUCUGCUGCAGUCUCGAGGAAACUCAGGGCAUUUUGAUUUUGAUGUAUGUAAUGUCUGGCUCUGGACCUUAGAAACAUCGAAUCCUUUGAACCUGCCAUGAAGUAACUUACCUUCUUUCUGAAUAUAAAGGAGAACAAGAGUUUAUUAUACCGGCACAUGCAAUAUAGUGUUUUU
Long non-coding RNA from Nothoprocta perdicaria, 339 nucleotides. RefSeq lists it as uncharacterized. The record is from RefSeq and is a predicted model, not a curated record. NCBI's taxonomy places the organism in Eukaryota, Metazoa, Chordata, Aves, Tinamiformes, Tinamidae. The transcript has 3 exons.